This 320-nucleotide ribosomal RNA is filed under the name uncultured bacterium. Its description in RNAcentral is "bacterial SSU rRNA". It matches the Rfam family "Bacterial small subunit ribosomal RNA", at positions 85 to 422 of the family's 1533-position model. The record is from RNAcentral.
GCAAUACGGAGCGGCAGACGGGAGAGUAACACGUGGGAACGUGCCCUUCAGUUCGGAACAACCCAGGGAAACUUGGGCUAAUACCGGAUACGUCCGUAAGGAGAAAGAUUUAUCGUUGAAGGAUCGGCCCGCGUCUGAUUAGCUAGUUGGUGGGGUAAUGGCCCACCAAGGCGACGAUCAGUAGCUGGUCUGAGAGGAUGAUCAGCCUCACUGGGACUGAGACACGGCCCAGACUCCUACGGGAGGCAGCAGUGGGGAAUAUUGGACAAUGGGCGCAAGCCUGAUCCAGCCAUGCCGCGUGGGUGAUGAAGGCCCUAGGG